CGCGGAGUAGAGCAGUGGUAGCUCGUCAGGCUCAUAACCUGAAGGUCGUUGGUUCGAUCCCAGCCUCCGCAA
This 72-nucleotide transfer RNA is filed under the name Paludibacteraceae bacterium. RNAcentral describes it as "tRNA-Met". It matches the Rfam family "tRNA". From Rfam's summary of the family: Transfer RNA (tRNA) molecules are approximately 80 nucleotides in length. Their secondary structure includes four short double-helical elements and three loops (D, anti-codon, and T loops). The record is from RNAcentral. Lineage: Bacteria; Pseudomonadati; Bacteroidota; Bacteroidia; Bacteroidales; Paludibacteraceae.